RNAcentral lists this ribosomal RNA (468 nucleotides) under uncultured bacterium. Its description in RNAcentral is "partial 16S ribosomal RNA". It matches the Rfam family "Bacterial small subunit ribosomal RNA", at positions 28 to 507 of the family's 1533-position model. The record is from RNAcentral.
GACGAACGCUGGCGGCGUGCUUAACACAUGCAAGUCGAACGGAAAGGCCCUGCUUUUGUGGGGUGCUCGAGUGGCGAACGGGUGAGUAACACGUGAGUAACCGGCUCUUGACUUUGGGAUAACUUCAGGAAACUGGGGCUAAUACCGGAUAGGAGCUCCUGCUGCAUGGUGGGGGUUGGAAAGUUUCGGCGGUUGGGGAUGGACUCGCGGCUUAUCAGCUUGUUGGUGGGGUAGUGGCUUACCAAGGCUUUGACGGGUAGCCGGCCUGAGGGGGUGACCGGCCACAUUGGGACUGAGAUGCGGCCGAGACUCCUACGGGAGGCAGCAGUGGGGAAUAUUGCACAAGGGGCGGAAGCCUGAUGCAGCAACGCCGCGUGCGGGAUGACGGCCUUCGGGUUGUAAACCGCUUUCGCCUGUGACGAAGCGUGAGUGACGGUAAUGGGUAAAGAAGGACCGGCUAACUACGUG